This 405-nucleotide ribosomal RNA is filed under the name uncultured Ktedonobacteraceae bacterium. Its description in RNAcentral is "bacterial SSU rRNA". It matches the Rfam family "Bacterial small subunit ribosomal RNA", at positions 355 to 776 of the family's 1533-position model. Lineage: Bacteria; Bacillati; Chloroflexota; Ktedonobacteria; Ktedonobacterales; Ktedonobacteraceae. The record is from RNAcentral.
UGAGGAAUCUUCGGCAAUGGGGGCAACCCUGACCGAGCAACGCCGCGUGCAGGAAGAAGGUUUUCGGAUCGUAAACUGCUUUUCUGUGGGACGAGCAAGGACGGUACCACAGGAAGAAGCCCCGGCUAACUACGUGCCAGCAGCCGCGGUAAUACGUAGGGGGCGAGCGUUGUCCGGAGUUACUGGGCGUAAAGGGCACGUAGGCGGUGCUGCGCGUUCGUGGUCACAGCUCCCGGCUUCACUGGGAGAGCGUCACGAAAACGGCAGGACUUGAGGGCUCAAGAGGGAACGGGAACUCCUGGUGGAGCGGUGAAAUGCGUAGAGAUCAGGAAGAACACCAAAGGCGAAGGCACGUUCCUGGGGAGUCACUGACGCUGAGGUGCGAGAGCUAGGGGAGCAAACGGG